RNAcentral lists this ribosomal RNA (301 nucleotides) under uncultured bacterium. Its description in RNAcentral is "partial 16S ribosomal RNA". It matches the Rfam family "Bacterial small subunit ribosomal RNA", at positions 509 to 807 of the family's 1533-position model. The record is from RNAcentral.
CAGUAGCCGCGGUAAUACGAAGGGGGCUAGCGUUGCUCGGAAUGACUGGGCGUAAAGGGCGCGUAGGCGGCGGCCAAAGUCAGGCGUGAAAUUCCUGGGCUCAACCUGGGGGCUGCGCUUGAUACUUGGUUGCUUGAGUGGGGAAGAGGGUCGUGGAAUUCCCAGUGUAGAGGCGAAAUUCGUAGAUAUUGGGAAGAACACCGGUGGCGAAGGCGGCGACCUGGUCCUUGACUGACGCUGAAGCGCGGAAGCGUGGGGAGCAAACAGGAUUAGAUACCCCCGUAGUCCCUGUCUCUUAUAC